CUGCUGAACAGGGGGUGUAGACCAAUCAUUUACAACAUGCAUACGUACCAGUUGAUAUUAAACCACUGUAUGGUGCAUAUUACUGUAUGUAACUUACUAUGCAUAGAGUACUUACUGACAAAAUUAUUUUUUGUACAUUCCAGAACCCCCUGAAUGAUGUAGGCUAUGGGGCCACAUAAGACUUUGUGCAUCCAGGGUUACAUAGCACGACAACUUUAAACUAAAGAACCCCCUGAAUGAUGUAGGCUAUGGGGCCACAUAAGACUUUGUGCAUCCAGGGUUACAUAGCAUGACAACUUUAAACUAAAAAGCUACCAGACUGGGAUUUUAGUGUACUCCAGGAUCUACCAAAGGAUUAGUGUACAGUGUAUAAUAGUGUUUAGUGUAUAAUCUAACCUAAGGAUUAAGUGUAGUACAUUGUGCUUUAUAGUGUCACAAGAGUUUAAU
Long non-coding RNA from Macrobrachium nipponense, 447 nucleotides. RefSeq lists it as uncharacterized. The transcript has 3 exons. NCBI's taxonomy places the organism in Eukaryota, Metazoa, Arthropoda, Malacostraca, Decapoda, Palaemonidae. The record is from RefSeq and is a predicted model, not a curated record.